Molecule: small nuclear RNA, 100 nt
Filed under: Spermophilus dauricus (Daurian ground squirrel)
Lineage: Eukaryota; Metazoa; Chordata; Mammalia; Rodentia; Sciuridae
Source: RNAcentral
UUAAAAAAUUGUCUUUACAUUUGUUCCAUUCUAUUCGAGAAGAUUAGCAUGUCCCCUGCGCAAGGAUGACACGCAAAUUCUUGAAGCGUUCCAUAUUUUU